CGCGGCCUAUCAGCUUGUUGGUGGGGUAGAAGCCUACCAAGGCGACGACGGGUAGCCGGCCUGAGAGGGCGACCGGCCACACUGGGACUGAGACACGGCUCAGACUCCUACGGGAGGCGGCAGUGGGGAAUCUUGCGCAAUGGGCGAAAGCCUGACGCAGCGACGCCGCGUGGGGGAUGAAGGCCUUCGGGUUGUAAACCUCUUUCAGCAGGGACGAAGCGAAAGUGACGGUACCUGCAGAAGAAGCGCCGGCCAACUACGUGCCAGCAGCCGCGGUAAGACGUAGGGCGCGAGCGUUGUCCGGAUUUAUUGGGCGUAAAGAGCUCGUAGGCGGCUUGUCGCGUCGACUGUGAAAUCUCAGGGCUCAACUCUGACAUUGCAGUCGAUACGGGCAGGCUAGAGUUCGGUAGGGGAGACUGGAAUUCCUGGUGUAGCGGUGAAAUGCGCAGAUAUCAGGAGGAACACCGAUGGCGAAGGCAGGUCUCUGGGCCGAUACUGACGCUGAGGAGCGAAAGCGUGGGGAGCGAACAGGAUUAGAUACCCUGGUAGUCCACGCUGUAAACGUUGGGCGCUAGGUGUGGGGGGCCUCUCCGGUUUCCUGCG
Molecule: ribosomal RNA, 603 nt
Filed under: uncultured bacterium
Lineage: Bacteria
Description: bacterial SSU rRNA
Rfam family: Bacterial small subunit ribosomal RNA
Source: RNAcentral